GGUCUUAUAUUCAUUUGUAUGAUAUUGGAAUGCAAUUCUAAAGGAGUAAUUAUUUACUAAGACUU
Molecule: transfer RNA, 65 nt
Filed under: Eremiaphila sp.
Lineage: Eukaryota; Metazoa; Arthropoda; Insecta; Mantodea; Eremiaphilidae
Description: tRNA-Cys
Source: RNAcentral